CCUACGGGUGGCAGCAGUGGGGAAUAUUGGACAAUGGGCGAAAGCCUGAUCCAGCCAUGCCGCGUGUGUGAAGAAGGCCUUCGGGUUGUAAAGCACUUUCAGUGGGGAAGAAAGCCUUGGGGCUAAUACCCUCGAGGAAGGACAUCACCCACAGAAGAAGCACCGGCUAACUCCGUGCCAGCAGCCGCGGUAAUACGGAGGGUGCGAGCGUUAAUCGGAAUUACUGGGCGUAAAGCGCGCGUAGGCGGUCUGAUAAGCCGGUUGUGAAAGCCCCGGGCUCAACCUGGGAACGGCAUCCGGAACUGUCAGGCUAGAGUGCGGGAGAGGAAGGUAGAAUUCCCGGUGUAGCGGUGAAAUGCGUAGAGAUCGGGAGGAAUACCAGUGGCGAAGGCGGCCUUCUGGACUGACACUGACGCUGAGGUGCGAAAGCGUGGGUAGCAAACAGGAUUAGAUACCCCAGUAGUC
This 465-nucleotide ribosomal RNA is filed under the name Vreelandella stevensii. RNAcentral's name for it is "partial 16S ribosomal RNA". It matches the Rfam family "Bacterial small subunit ribosomal RNA", at positions 338 to 795 of the family's 1533-position model. Lineage: Bacteria; Pseudomonadati; Pseudomonadota; Gammaproteobacteria; Oceanospirillales; Halomonadaceae. The record is from RNAcentral.